Molecule: ribosomal RNA, 327 nt
Filed under: uncultured eukaryote
Lineage: Eukaryota
Description: partial 18S ribosomal RNA
Rfam family: Eukaryotic small subunit ribosomal RNA
Source: RNAcentral
CCCUUAGAUGUUCUGGGCCGCACGCGCGCUACACUGACGAAUGCAACGAGCUUAUAACCUUGGCCGAAAGGUCUGGGUAAUCUCCAAAUUUCGUCGUGAUGGGGAUAGAUUAUUGCAAUUAUUAAUCUUCAACGAGGAAUGCCUAGUAAGCGCAAGUCAUCAGCUUGCAUUGAUUACGUCCCUGCCCUUUGUACACACCGCCCGUCGCACCUACCGAUUGAAUGACCCGGUGAAAUCUUCGGAUCGUCGUAUUGCCCGAUUCAUUUCGGGCGAUGUGACGCAAAGUUGAUUAAACCUUGCCAUUUAGAGGAAGGUGAAGUCGUAACA